CUCGAGGCCAGAUCUUUCCGGUUGAUCCUGCCGGACCUGACUGCUAUCGGAUUGAUACUAAGCCAUGCGAGUCAUUGUAGUAAUACAAGGCAGACGGCUCAGUAACGCGUAGUCAACCUAACCUAUGGACGGGAAUAACCUCGGGAAACUGAGUAUAAUGCCCGAUAGAACAUUAUGCCUGGAACGGUUUAUGUUCCAAAUGAUUUAUCGCCGUAGGAUGGGACUGCGGCCUAUCAGUUUGUUGGUGAGGUAAUGGCCCACCAAGACUAUUACAGGUACGGGCUCUGAGUGGAGUAGCCCGGAGAUGGGUACUGAGACACGGACCCAGGCCCUAUGGGGCGCAGCAGGCGAGAAAACUUUGCAAUGUGCGAAAGCACGACAAGGUUAAUCCGAGUGGUUUCUGCUAAAGGAACCUUUUGUCGGUCCUAGAAACACCGAUGAAUAAGGGGUGGGCAAGUUCUGGUGUCAGCCGCCGCGGUAAAACCAGCACCUCAAGUGGUCAGGAUGAUUAUUGGGCCUAAAGCAUCCGUAGCCGGCUCUGUAAGUUUUCGGUUAAA
RNAcentral lists this ribosomal RNA (557 nucleotides) under uncultured archaeon. RNAcentral describes it as "bacterial SSU rRNA". It matches the Rfam family "Archaeal small subunit ribosomal RNA", at positions 1 to 549 of the family's 1478-position model. The record is from RNAcentral.